CCUACGUGCGGCAGCAGUGGGGAAUAUUGGACAAUGGGCGAAAGCCUGAUCCAGCCAUGCCGCGUGUGUGAAGAAGGCCUUCGGGUUGUAAAGCACUUUCAGUGGGGAAGAAAGCCUUGGGGCUAAUACCCUCGAGGAAGGACAUCACCCACAGAAGAAGCACCGGCUAACUCCGUGCCAGCAGCCGCGGUAAUACGGAGGGUGCGAGCGUUAAUCGGAAUUACUGGGCGUAAAGCGCGCGUAGGCGGUCUGAUAAGCCGGUUGUGAAAGCCCCGGGCUCAACCUGGGAACGGCAUCCGGAACUGUCAGGCUAGAGUGCAGGAGAGGAAGGUAGAAUUCCCGGUGUAGCGGUGAAAUGCGUAGAGCUCGGGAGGAAUACCAGUGGCGAAGGCGGCCUUCUGGACUGACACUGACGCUGAGGUGCGAAAGCGUGGGUAGCAAACAGGAUUAGAUACCCCGGUAGUC
RNAcentral lists this ribosomal RNA (465 nucleotides) under Vreelandella stevensii. Its description in RNAcentral is "partial 16S ribosomal RNA". It matches the Rfam family "Bacterial small subunit ribosomal RNA", at positions 338 to 795 of the family's 1533-position model. Lineage: Bacteria; Pseudomonadati; Pseudomonadota; Gammaproteobacteria; Oceanospirillales; Halomonadaceae. The record is from RNAcentral.